UGACGUAACGAAGUUGCCUUAAUUAAAAGGAGUAACAAGGUUAAUGUCAUAGUUCAAUUGGAUAAAUGAAUACUUUAUUUCAUGUUAUUUAUAAUCGUUAAAUAUGGCAUGAUUUAAUACAGUUUGUUUUACAUCUUGGGCCGAUAUGCGUAUGUGUUUCUUGUGCCUAGGAACUAAUGUUUGUUCAUGUGCUGGUACUGCGUGUUUUGCUGUUACACUGUACAACUCCAUGUGGGUUGACGUCUUUUUGAAGCUCUGCUGAGGUCUGUGAUAAAGUUUAGUGUGACGGGAGGUCUGUGAUGAAGUUAUGCAGAAAAGGAACUAAAUUAAUCUCCUUUCACGACAAGCGGCCAACGAGUUCUCACGGCGUAACGGAAGAGGGAAGGCUACAGGAUGAAAACUCCCAAGAAAUAAACGCCCGUUUUAAAGAACCGACCUGUGUCUGUGUCGUGAAAAGAGCUACAGUGAGAACUCGCCUGCUCAGCGCGGGUGGGAAAGACAACGAGACUGGAGCGAGAGACGACGCUGCGUUCAAGGACCAUCCAGCACAUCAGAGAAGCAACGCCAGCGGUGCACUGUCGGCAUGACGACCGCAAGCUACGGUGAUUAGACUGUGUCAAAGUCGCAACAUUUCAGGAUAAAGCCAGGAAGUGCUCUACCACAUCCUUCAAGUUAAAGGUGGUGUGAGAAGUGGUUAAUCUGGAAAUUGCAAAUAAGGACUCAGGUCUAUCAUCUAUGCUAAGCCUAUGCUGGUGAUGAAGCUAAUGUGUUGGUGUUCAUGAAUGGUACAUGUCAAAGGGUUUAAAGACGAAAAUUAAUCAUAUAAGAAAGUAAAGAAAUUAUAAGUUAAUAUUAAAGAAAGAAGAUAUUAUUUAUAAGUUCAAGUUAAAAAAGAAGAACGUUUUCACAUUUUAUGAAAGGUAUUACACUUAAAGGACCAUUUUUACUUGAGCUUUAAAGGGUCAUUCCACUAACAAAAACAUUUUCUUUGUAAAGUAUAAGUGAUGUAAUGCCUUUCUAAGCAUAUUUCACUACAUUUAAGGUUUAUUAGUAACAAGCUAAAUCUUAUUCUUGUUGUUAUUUUGUUGUAAAGCUGAGGUCAAGUUAAACUUGUUAAUGAGUGCAUACAUUUGAUAACCUCACUGAUUACUUAUGUAUACAUUCAGAGAUCCAAUUCAAGCUUAGUAGUUACACAUGCUCUAUUACAGUCGGUUAUAAGUUAUUAAGUCAUCUCAAAAUGUCAGAAGCAGGGACUGAGACCUGCCACAAAAAUGCCAAAUCAUCUGCUCAACUUGAAACAACAGAAACAGAGUUGGCAGAAGAAGUGGAAGAGCUACGAAGAAGUGAAAGAAAUCGAACACUAACAGAAAAAGGAAAAGAACUCCAAGCUGAAAAGUUGAAAAGUGUACAACGUCACUACAGAAUCGUCUAUGAGAAAUGGAGGUACCAUGUGAGAAUAGGCAAAGAAAUACUGAAUGAUGACGCCUCCAAGGAUGAAUUGAGAGAGCUUAUUGCAAAUAUAAAAAGCUCUUGCUCAGAUGUAAAAGCCUUGUAUGAAGAGUUACGUCUCAUACAUACUCCUGAACCGAACCUGCGACGCAGAGUUGAUACAUGCAUAUCACUCUCAGGAUUUAUUAUUCGAAAGGCAGAGAGACAGCUUGAAGAGAAUACAGCAGACUUAAAGGAAGAAUCUUGGCCCAAUGUUGGAUCUGUUCUAAACUCAACUGACUCUUCAUUAUCUCCACUGUCUUGUCGAUCAAAGUGUAGCUCCGCUCAUUCUAGUCUUCUCAAAAGAUUUGAAGCUGCAGCUGAAGCCGCUGCAUCUCAGGAAGUCCUAGCAGUUUUAGGUGAACAAGAAAAGGAAGCAACAGAACUUCAAAGGCUGGAGACUGAAGAUAAAAAACAGAUGGCACAAUUUGAGUUCGAAAGGCAAGCCAGACUUCAGGCAAUGCAAGAAAAGCGCAGAAAGCUUGAACGCCUAGAAGAGGUUAACAAGCUGAAAGCCGCAAGAGCUCGAGUCAAGGUGUACAAUCGAAUGGAAGAAAAUUAUGAAGCAAUCGACUCACUGUAUGAUGUUGAACCAGCUAGAGAAACCCAAGCUCUGUACUCCACAACUCCACCAUUCGUUUAUCAGUCUCAGCCAGUAACGGCACAAGUCAUCAAUGCUUCAAGUCCUCCGUUCAUACCUCAACCUCUACAACCUGCAAGUCAAGCUUAUAGUCUCCACAGUCCACAGCAAGUACCACAAGCUCUACCAACCUCAAUGCCCUUAGCUCAGAUGCAGAAUAGUGCUGACUUGGUUAAAAAUACUAGCAGAAGCAAUAAGUGCAAAUCACCUUCCAACACCAGAGCCUGCAUUAUUCACAGGAGAUCCUUUGAAAUUCAAAGACUGGCAACUAUCCUUUGAAACUUUAAUAGACAGGAAAAACAUUCCAAAGAAUGAAAAACUGUAUUACCUUAGAAAGUACAUAGGAGGUGCUGCAAAGAAAGCAGUAGAAGGAUUCUUCCUGUUAGGCACCGAAGCAGCAUAUGACUCUGCCUGGCAGCUGUUAGAAAAACGUUUUGGAGACCCAUUUAUUAUUGGGAAGUCCUUCAGAGACAAGCUACAUGGAUGGCCAAAGAUAAGCUCUAAAGAUGGCAGCGAACUAAGAUAAUUUGCAGACUUCCUUAAGAGCUGUGAGGCUGCAAUGCCCCACAUUAAGACAUUAGAAGUACUGAAUGACUGCAACGAGAGUCAACAAAUAUUGAUGAAACUGCCAGAUUGGUUGGUAUCCGGCUGGAACCGAAAAGCAAUGGAGGCCAGACAUGCAAAUGGUGGUUACCCACCAUUCAAAGUGUUUGUAGAUUUCAUAUCAAAGGAAGCAGAUCUCGCAUGUGAUCCCAUAUCCUCGAUACAAGCUAUCAGGAGUGUCGAAAGUGAAAAAACAAAGAAUCCAAGAAGCCAAACUAUUCAAGCAAAGACACUGUCCACAAACACAACACAAAGUAGCAUCCCAACAUGCAUCCUUUGCAAAGGAACAGGACACGUCCUCCCAAAGUGUAGAAAGUUUGUAGAAAAGACAGUUGAAGAUCGCAUCAAGUUUGUGUAUGCAGAAAGGCUAUGCUUUGGAUGUUUGAAUACUGGUCAUCAGUCAAAGGCGUGCAAUGACAAAAGCACAUGUGAAAAGUGUCAGAGGAGACAUCCAACGUGUUUGCAUGACGACAAGUUCAAAGGCAAAAUGUCAACUACCUUUUAAUGGAGACGACAUCUCAAUGGACAAAACAGACACCAAAGAAAUCGCUGCAACCACCAACAGAGUCAUACAAGAAGGCCCAAGCACACAAACGUCCGCAAUCAUACCAGUCUGGGUCUCAUCCACAAAACAGCCAGAACAAGAAGUUCUUGUCUACGCACUCUUGGACACACAGAGUGACACGACUUUCAUUCUAGAUGAAGUGGCCCAAAAUCUUGACACAAACAAAGAAAAUGUUCGUUUGCGGCUAUCUACAAUGUCAACAAAGUCAACAGUCAUACCCUGUCAGAAACUGACAGAACUUCAAGUGAGGGGAUACGACCUGGAAAAAAUGAUUCCUUUGCCACCUAUUUUCACAAGAGAGUUCAUUCCAGUUGACAGGUCACACAUUCCUACCUCAGAGACAGCUCUAAAAUGGCCACAUUUGGAACAGUUGGCAGACAAGAUUCCACCACCAUUGGAUUGCGAAGUAGGUCUUUUAAUCGGAUAUAACUGUCAGCAAGCCCUUCUUCCAAGAGAGAUCCUAUCCGGUAAAGACAAUUAUCCAUAUGCACAGCAGACGGAUCUUGGCUGGAGUAUCGUCGGUUGCUCGAAUCCAGCAAAGGAUUACUGUGACACAAUAGGAACUAGUCACAGAAUCGUAGUGUGACAAGUAACACCUGCUGUCCAGCCAGCAAUUCAGCUGAAGAGAGAAGUACACUUUGUGUGCAAAACUCAAGUCAAAGAGAUCCAUCCAACAGACAUACUCAAGGUUCUCGAGUCGGAUUUCACUGAACACACUACAGAUGAUAACCAAGUGUCUCAGGAGGACCUUCUCUUCUUGUCUAAAGUGAAGGAAGGUAUCCGCCAAAGAGAAGACGGCCACUAUGAACUCCCUCUUCCCUUCAAAUCGGAUAACCCUCAUCUCCCUGACAAUAAACGAUCUGCAGUUCACAGACUGAUCUCAUUGGAAAGACGACUAAGGAGAAAUGAACAGUAUUACAAGGAUUACGUUCAUUUCAUGAAUGACAUAAUAACCAGAGGCGAUGCUGAGAAGGUUCCAGAGUCUGAACUCAACAACCAAAUAUCAUGGUACAUUCCGCACCACGGAGUCUACCACCCCCACAAACCCGGACAAAUCCGUGUGGUUUUUGAUUGUUCAGCACGUUUCCAAGAAACCUCUCUAAACGAUCAUCUCUUGACUGGUCCCGACCUGACAAACACGCUCAUUGGAGUGUUAUGUAGAUUUAGAAAGGGUCCGGUAGCCAUAAUGUGCGAUGUUGAACGGAUGUUCCACCAAUUUCAUGUCACAAAGGAACACCAAAACUACCUAAGGUUUCUCUGGUGGGACAAAGGCGACCUGGACUCAAAACCUUCAGUAUAUAGGAUGAGAGUGCACCUGUUUGUAGCAGCGUCAUCCCCUGGCUGCUCCAACUUUGGAUUCAAACAUCUGGCAUCCCAGGAUCAUGGGAAGUUCAGUGAAGAGUCCAUCAAGUUUAUACAGAGAAGCUUCUAUGUGGACGAUGGCCUAAUAAGUGUAAGGUCACCGGCUGAAGCCAUCUGUCUUGUUGAAGAGUCAAGAGCCUUGUGCAGAACAGGAAAUCUUCGUCUUCACAAGUUCGUAUCCAACGACAAAGAGGUGAUUGCUGCAAUACCACCUGAAGAACUUGCCAAAAACAAGGAUCUAGACUUAACUCUUGGAGAACUUCAUAUUGAGCGAGCACUUGGAGUUCAGUGGUGUGUUGAAGCAGAUGAAUUCCAAUUCAGAGUUGUGGUUAAGGAAAAUCCACUGACAAGGAGCGGAGUUCUCUCAACCGUUGCCUCUGUCUUUGAUCCUCUUGGAUUUGUGGCCCCCUUUGUGCUCCUCGGAAAACAAAUCCUUCAGACUCUAUGUCGGGACAGAGUGAGCUGGGACGAAGCUCUCCCUGCUCAUAUCCUGCCACAAUGGGAGUCAUGGCUUAGAGGUUUAUCUCACUUGGCAACCCUAAAAAUUCCAAGAUGUUAUCUUCCAUCAAGCUUUGGCGAGGUCAAACAAUAUGAACUGCAUAACCUUUCAGAUGCAAGUACCAACGGCUACGGUGCAUGCUCUUACCUCAGAGCUAUAAGCAAAACAGGUCAGAUCAAUUGCUCACUCAUCAUGGGGAAGGCAAGAGUAGCCCCUACCAAACUAACGACUAUCCCAAGACUUGAGUUGUCGUCAGCUGUGACUUCAGUACGCAAUGGUGAUGUCAUCAAACGCGAGCUGGAGAUUGAAAACCUGCAAGAAUAUUACUGGACUGACUCAAAGGUAGUCCUUGGUUACUUGAACAACAAUGCCAAGAGGUUCCACACGUUUGUUGCCAACCGUAUCCAGCGCAUAAGAUCUAGCACCAACCCUGAACAAUGGCGACAUGUUAGCUCUGAAAAUAACCCAGCCGACUACGCCUCAAGGGGGCUGAGCGCAGUUCAGCUCAAAGAGUCUAACUGGCUAAAAGGACCUGACUUUCUUUUCCAGCUGAACCUUCCAUGUGAAGAGAAGGUGAGAGCAGUGGAAACAAACGAUCCUGAACUUCGCAAAGUUCAUGUUCACAGAGUCAAAACUAAGGAAGAAAAUUCACUGUUGAACCGCUUCUCUAAGUUUUCUGACUGGUCCAGGACAGUGAGAGCUGUCGCAAGACUCAAGAGAUUUGUCAGAGAAUCCAGGAGACUUCAGCCAAGAACUAAUGAAGCAACUAACCUUGCAGAAAGAAGAGAAGCAGAAAUCUUUAUUAUCAAGCUGGUGCAAGAAGAGGCCUUCACCGAAGAAAUUAAAACAGUUCAGCUUCAAAAGGGAAGCACCUUGAACAAGCACAACAAGCUACACCUGUUGAAUGCCUUCCUGGACAAGAACAAUGUUCUUAGGGUGGGAGGAUGGCUAUCUCAAUCAGCCUUACAUCAUGACAUAAAACAUCCUGCAAUACUUCCGAAGAAAGCUCAUGUGUCCGCCUUGCUCGUCAAACAUCAUCAUGAGCGUGUACAUCACCAAGGAAGAGGCAUGACAAUGAAUGAGUUACGUGCGAAUGGAAUAUGGAUCCUGGGAUGUGGAAAUGUAGUUUCAUCACACAUCUACAAGUGUGUAAAAUGUAGGAAAUACAGAAGAACCACAGAGACUCAACAAAUGGCCGAUCUGCCAGAGGACAGAACUGAGACAUCCCCUCCGUUUACUUACUGCGGUAUAGAUUGUUUUGGUCCCUUUAUUGUGAAGGAAGGAAGAAAGGAGGUAAAACGAUAUGGAUUGUUGUUUACCUGCCUAUGCUCCAGAGCGGUGCAUAUAGAGACGCUAGACGAUUUGACGACAGAUGCCUUCAUGAAUGCACUUCGAACAAUGGUAGCAAUCAGAGGACCUGUGCGCCAAUUACGAUGCGACCAAGGAACAAACUUCAUUGGUGCCAGGAGGGAGUUUUCUGAGUUGCUCAAAGGAAUGGAUCAGGAACGUCAACGAGCAAUUGAUUGCGAAUUUGUAAUGAAUGUUCCUUCAGCAAGCCAUAUGGGAGGAGUCUGGGAACGCCAAAUCAGAACGAUUCGAAGCAUUCUGACAGUCAUGUUAGACAAGUCUGCAAGCAGACUAGACACCACAACUCUGAGAACAUUCCUUUACGAAACAAUGGCAAUAAUUAACAGCAGACGGUUAAGUGUUGAACACCUCCACGAUCCUACUGGUCCAGAGCCUCUCACUCCCAACCACAUAAUAACCAUGAAGUCAUCAGUUAUUCUGCCCCCUCCUGGAGAGUUCUGUAAAGAAGACCUCUAUCUGCGCAAGAGAUGGAGAAGAGUGCAGUUCUUAGCCAAUGAGUUCUGGCGAAGAUGGAAACGAGAAUACCUGCUAAACCUCCAACAGCGGCAGAAAUGGCCAAAGGCAUCACAAAAUUCACAAGUAGAUGACAUUGUCAUUCUGCGAGACGACAACCUACCAAGAAAUGAGUGGAAGCUCGCCAGAGUUGUAGAAACUCACCCUGGAACAGACGGCUUGGUGCGAAAGCUAAAGUUACUAGUCAGUAACACUACACUUGAUAAAGGAAAACCACACACUAGAUUAGUCUACCUCGAAAGACCUAUUCAUAAGGUAGUCACCUUACUUCACGCCACUUAAGUCCCAUACAUGAGAGUAUAGUCAUACACACUGAAAACACUUGACUGUUUCUUUGCAUUUUGUUUGAACGAAAUCCCACAUUUGAGUUAAUGAGUGAUUUGGUGGGAGUGUAAAUGAUGUAACGAAGUUGCCUUAAUUAAAAGGAGUAACAAGGUUAAUGUCAUAGUUCAAUUGGAUAAAUGAAUACUUUAUUUCAUGUUAUUUAUAAUCGUUAAAUAUGGCAUGAUUUAAUACAGUUUGUUUUACAUCUUGGGCCGAUAUGCGUAUGUGUUUCUUGUGCCUAGGAACUAAUGUUUGUUCAUGUGCUGGUACUGCGUGUUUUGCUGUUACACUGUACAACUCCAUGUGGGUUGACGUCUUUUUGAAGCUCUGCUGAGGUCUGUGAUAAAGUUUAGUGUGACGGGAGGUCUGUGACGAAGUUAUGCAGAAAAGGAACUAAAUUAAUCUCCUUUCACGACAAGCGGCCAACGAGUUCUCACGGCGUAACGGAAGAGGGAAGGCUACAGGAUGAAAACUCCCAAGAAAUAAACGCCCGUUUUAAAGAACCGACCUGUGUCUGUGUCGUGAAAAGAGCUACAGUAACGUUGUGAUACACUUCAAUUAAUGAUAACUACGGAGAUUGCUAACAGCAAGGCACAAGGCUACUU
Gymnodraco acuticeps is the source of this 7967-nucleotide RNA transcript. It is a transcript of the gene named actin cytoskeleton-regulatory complex protein pan-1-like, with no coding region annotated. The transcript has 3 exons. The record is from RefSeq and is a predicted model, not a curated record. Lineage: Eukaryota; Metazoa; Chordata; Actinopteri; Perciformes; Bathydraconidae.